AUUGAACGCUGGCGGCAGGCCUAACACAUGCAAGUCGAACGAGUGGCGGACGGGUGAGUAAUGUCUGGGAAACUGCCUGAUGGAGGGGGAUAACUACUGGAAACGGUAGCUAAUACCGCAUACCAUCAGAUUUGCCCAGAUGGGAUUAGCUUGUUGUUGGGGUAACGGCUCACCAAGGCGACGAUCCCUAGCUGGUCUGAGAGGAUGACCAGCCACCCUGGACCUGAAAACCGGCCCAGACUCCACCGGGAGGCAGCGUGGGGAAAUUUUGCACAAUGGGCGCAAGCUUGAUGCAGCCAGGCCGCUUGGAGGAAGAGGGCCUUCGGGUUUUAAAGUACUUUCAUAGGGGAGGCGUUACCCGCAGAAGAAGCACCGGCUAACUCCGUGCCAGCAGCCGCGGUAAUUC
RNAcentral lists this ribosomal RNA (406 nucleotides) under uncultured bacterium. RNAcentral's name for it is "partial 16S ribosomal RNA". It matches the Rfam family "Bacterial small subunit ribosomal RNA", at positions 30 to 526 of the family's 1533-position model. The record is from RNAcentral.